GCGGCAGUGGUGUAGGGGUUAACACUUAACCUUGCCAAGGUUAGACCUCGGGUUCGAUUCCCGGCUGCCGCA
This 72-nucleotide transfer RNA is filed under the name Thermoplasmata archaeon. RNAcentral's name for it is "tRNA-Gly". It matches the Rfam family "tRNA". From Rfam's summary of the family: Transfer RNA (tRNA) molecules are approximately 80 nucleotides in length. RNAcentral also lists the same sequence under 1 other name. The record is from RNAcentral. Lineage: Archaea; Methanobacteriati; Thermoplasmatota; Thermoplasmata.